GUGAGUCAUCGAAUCUUUGAACGCAUAUUGCGCCCUUUGGUAUUCCGAAGGGCAUGCCUGUUCGAGCGUCAUUAUUACCCCUCAAGCCCCCGGCUUGGUGUUGGACGGUUUGGUUUUGGCGACAAGACCCCUUCUAAAGUCAAUGACGGCGGCCUGUGUGACCCCCGAUACACUGAGCUUCUUAACUGAGCACGUAUCGGUUCAAGGGCGGACAGGACCCGGUCUUCUUCCUUUACGGGAAAAUUCUUUCCACAAGGUUGACCUCGGAUCAGGUAGGGAUACCCGCUGAACUUAAGCAUAUCAAUAAGCGGAGGA
RNAcentral lists this unclassified non-coding RNA (315 nucleotides) under Herpotrichiellaceae sp. RNAcentral's name for it is "partial contains 5.8S ribosomal RNA, internal transcribed spacer 2, and large subunit ribosomal RNA". The stretch from base 1 to 71 matches the Rfam family "5.8S ribosomal RNA", at positions 84 to 154 of the family's 154-position model. Lineage: Eukaryota; Fungi; Ascomycota; Eurotiomycetes; Chaetothyriales; Herpotrichiellaceae. The record is from RNAcentral.